UCCCUGGUAGCUCAGUUGGUAAAGAAUCUGCCUACAGUGCAGGAGACCCUGGUUCGAUUCCUGGGUUGGGAA
This 72-nucleotide transfer RNA is filed under the name Bos taurus (domestic cattle). It matches the Rfam family "tRNA". Rfam says of the family: Transfer RNA (tRNA) molecules are approximately 80 nucleotides in length. Their secondary structure includes four short double-helical elements and three loops (D, anti-codon, and T loops). Further hydrogen bonds mediate the characteristic L-shaped molecular structure. tRNAs have two regions of fundamental functional importance: the anti-codon, which is responsible for specific mRNA codon recognition, and the 3' end, to which the tRNAs corresponding amino acid is attached (by aminoacyl-tRNA synthetases). tRNAs cope with the degeneracy of the genetic code in two manners: having more than one tRNA (with a specific anti-codon) for a particular amino acid; and 'wobble' base-pairing, i.e. permitting non-standard base-pairing at the 3rd anti-codon position. RNAcentral also lists the same sequence under 2 other names. The record is from Rfam by way of RNAcentral. Lineage: Eukaryota; Metazoa; Chordata; Mammalia; Artiodactyla; Bovidae.